UAUGUUUCGUGAUUUGGGGGAUUGAACCCAA
This 31-nucleotide non-coding RNA is filed under the name Rattus norvegicus (Norway rat). Lineage: Eukaryota; Metazoa; Chordata; Mammalia; Rodentia; Muridae. The record is from RNAcentral.